Vidua chalybeata is the source of this 1186-nucleotide long non-coding RNA. RefSeq lists it as uncharacterized. Lineage: Eukaryota; Metazoa; Chordata; Aves; Passeriformes; Viduidae. The record is from RefSeq and is a predicted model, not a curated record. The transcript has 3 exons.
GCCUGGGCAGUGCCCAGCACCCUCUGGGGGAAGAACCUUUCCCUGAUCUGCAGCCUGACCCUCCCCUGGCCCAGCUUCAUCCCUUCAGGCCUUAUCACAGAAGAGGAUGUGCCUGGGGCUGGCUCUGUCCCCAGCUGGUGCAUCUGGCUCUGAGGAGUGGGCAGGAAAGGUCCCAGUGUGAUGGGCAGGAUGUGUAGGCAGCAGACUGUGCCUAUGGCUCUGCUGUCAGGGACAGGGACAGAGGAGUGAGGAGCCUUCCUUGGAGCUCAAUAGCUUCUCCCAGGGAAGAAGAGCCCAAAUCCCAUCAGACAUUGGACAUUUGCCAGCUGAGUGAUGUGUCUCACCAGCUCCUCAGCAAUUGCCCAAAGCUGUGAAUAGCAGGGAGACCUCCCCCACCUGCAGUCACGAGUGCUAUCAGCACCGAGGUGCAAUUGCUGCUGCAUUGCCUCACAUCACCCCUGGUGCUGCCACACCUGAGACAUUCCAGCAGGGUAUCGUCACCUGGUGACUCAGGGCCGCUGGCUUUGGCUCUAAGCUGGAGCCUGUGACCUCAACCUAGGGGACAAUAUCUUGCAAGCUGCUGGCCCCUGCCUCGCUGUGGCACUGAGGAACUCCAGGCCUCUGUGGCAGGGCUUGGAGCCUGGGAUGGACGGUGCUGACAGCCUCAGGAAUCCCACUUCACCUCUGUGCUUGUGACUGGCCAUACUGCAGAUGUUGGGGUAGAGCAGCUCUGACACUGGUGGAGCACAUCUUGCCCACCCGUGGACAGGUCCUCGUGGCUGUCAAGUGGGCAUCCCAUGGUGCAGAGAGCCUGCAAGAUAAUCUAGGAAUGCGCAAGCGACGGUUGUCCUGCCAAGUACCCGAGAUUGGGAUCGCUGGAACCUCCGGAGGAUGCGUCUCAAUGCCGGGUUCCCGGGUUCCUGUAACUCCAUCAUCCAUGUACAUCAUUUCCCGGACCUCGGAUUGUUCAACCCGGUGCAGAGAAAAGAGACUUUAUGGAUAUGUGGGACUUUGAAUGGAAAGAAAAGGCUGAUCGCCGAAAUCCCGGCCUCCAGCAAAAUAAACUGUAUAAAAACUGCUCGCGCAGGACGGAUGGUGUGAAGCAUAGGAGACCCUCUGCCAGAGUGGUUGAACCUGUGUCUCACCCAGCACCAGUCCCGGGCUCAGCACUGUCCUUUUCUUUGUG